UUUGGACUUAAGGAGAAGGUACAUACCUGCGACACUGGUGUUAAACAAAAUCGUUGGGAGAUUGCAAGUCUGCAAGUUCAAAGACACAGCCAUCCAUGGCCAAGAGAAAAGAAAUUCAGGAAGCCCUGUCAAUCACUAGGCAAUCAGGAGCAUCCAUGAACUCAUGUGCGUGGAAGAGGGUGGAUAGCGCUUUCCUCCAAGGGUGUUACACUGCCAUGUGGUGCACAUAAAAAUUCAGUGUGGACCCUCUGGUGUGCGCACACUCCUCUGUGACCUGAGCGACUGAUGAUGUCAUUGGCAGUUGACCCCAGAGCGAGUGUACUCGUGGCUGUCCUUGCGCAUGCUAUGGGAGGGAGAGGGCC
Molecule: long non-coding RNA, 362 nt
Organism: Ictalurus punctatus (channel catfish)
Lineage: Eukaryota; Metazoa; Chordata; Actinopteri; Siluriformes; Ictaluridae
Source: Ensembl